AUCGGUGUAGGUUGGCUGCAGUCCCUGCGCAGCUGUGUCAGUGAACUGGGGCCCUUCCGAUAGCACUGGGAACUCUCACCUUGUCUCCUUAUGCCUGGUCCCCUGCAGCCACCACCGCUUCUCAGUUGAAUUUGGCCGGUAUGCUCAAUUCUGGGCUCAGUGAGGAGGAAGGAAAUGAUUAAGGAGGUCAAGGAGUUGGACCCACCGAGGAACUCAUGGACAACGUCCUUAUUGGAGCUCUACAGAGACUGAGCCCAGCACCCGGCAUUAGGAACCCUCCACAGUGCGUGGUUGUACCUUCCAGCAGCCCUGGCAAACUGGGACAGUGUGUUGGGACACGACGAGGAUGUUUUCAGCAGCCCUGUGGAACUAGCAGCAAAAUUGAAUCGGGUUCCACCAGCACUAAAAGGCAGAAUCACUGAGGAAAACUACAUCCUCUAUGGGGAUGAUAUAGGGAGGAGUAAGGUCACCGCUCUUGACCUGGCUGGCCUGCAGUGGUUGGCUGUGCUCUGUGAGUUGACAAGUUGCAGAGACAUGUCUGAUACCUUAAUCCCUCCCCGUUUUGUUUGUUUGUUGCUUUGGUUUUGUUUCGUUUGUUUUUUGUACAAACCACCCUCAAGUGUGAUGAUGUGUAAGGCCUGGAGAAGGUCUGCAAGGACAGUGGAGCUCAGUGCUCUGCAGGAUACCUGGGGCAGGUAGUUAAACAAUGGAAACCAGCCACCUGCAAAGACAGCAAGAAUUUGUUUUCUCCACCAUUCCAACAAAUAUGUGAAGACUAUUCCUACACUACCAGGAACCUGGUUGGGAGGAUUGGAGGUACAGGUUUCUCUGGGAGUGGGCCCCAGAUUUGUGUCUGGGUUCUGGCCCCACCCCCGUCAUCUCAGGUCCUACAUGUGGGACAGCCCUCACCUCAGCCGCGCUCUGGGCAGUCAUCCUGGCCUGGCGUUCUCAUCCCUUGUACUGGUUGGUAGCAUAAGUGAACCCGUCAGCCAGCUCCUCUAUGACGUCCUCCUUGGAGCGCUACAAACACAGAGCCCGGUCCCGGGCCCAGAGGCGUCAGUAGCCUGCCACGGCAUUGCCAGCUGGGGGAGAAGCCCACACUAAUUCUGCUCGCCAGAUCAGGCUCAAAGGGGCAUCUGCUAAGACCUCCAGCCCAGGAAGGAACGAGAUGACACCCUGAGAGCUGAAGAUUAACAAGUGGGUACAGGAGCUUUUUCCCCAGCUCUCACCUUUCCAUCCUGACAGCCAUGACCUGGGCUGUGAACGUGACAGACCCACCAGGUUCCAGCUGCUAACAACCUGCUCCUGCCCAGGAUGAGUGCCCCUUGUCCCACACUUUCCCUCGCCAGCCCCAGCCCACACACAUACUCAGGAGGGGUGUGGGGCUG
This is a long non-coding RNA of Molossus molossus (Pallas's mastiff bat), 1388 nucleotides long. RefSeq lists it as uncharacterized. The record is from RefSeq and is a predicted model, not a curated record. The transcript is spliced from 3 exons. Lineage: Eukaryota; Metazoa; Chordata; Mammalia; Chiroptera; Molossidae.